UACGUAGGGGGCGAGCGUUGUCCGGAUUUACUGGGCGUAAAGAGCGCGCAGGCGGUCGAUUUAGUCGCGUGUGAAAGCCCCCGGCUCAACUGGGGAGGGUCACGCGAUACUGAUCGACUCGAAGGCAGGAGAGGGUAGUGGAAUUCCCGGUGUAGUGGUGAAAUGCGUAGAUAUCGGGAGGAACACCAGUGGCGAAGGCGACUACCUGGCCUGUUCUUGACGCUGAGGCGCGAAAGCUAGGGGAGCAAACGGG
Molecule: ribosomal RNA, 253 nt
Filed under: uncultured bacterium
Lineage: Bacteria
Description: partial 16S ribosomal RNA
Rfam family: Bacterial small subunit ribosomal RNA
Source: RNAcentral